AGAGUUUGAUCAUGGCUCAGAACGAACGCUGGCGGCGUGCCUAACACAUGCAAGUCGAACGCGAAAGGGGGCAACCCCCAGUAGCGUGGCAGACGGGUGAGUAACACGUGGGUAACCUACCCGGAGGUGGGGGAUAACCCUUCGAAAGGAGGGCUAAUACCGCAUGACACCGCGGGGACUUCGGUCCUCGCGAUCAAAGCUGGCCUCUGUUUACAAGCUAGCGCCACCGGAUGGGCCCGCGCCCCAUUAGCUAGUUGGUGAGGUAACGGCUCACCAAGGCGACGAUGGGUAGCCGGCCUGAGAGGGCGAUCGGCCACACUGGAACUGCGACACGGUCCAGACUCCUACGGGAGGCAGCAGUGAGGAAUAUUGCGCAAUGGGCGAAAGCCUGACGCAGCGACGCCGCGUGGAGGAUGAAGGUCUUCGGAUUGUAAACUCCUGUCGAGUGGGACGAAUGCCGUGAGGGUGAACAAUCCUCGCGGUUGACGGUACCGCUGGAGGAAGCCCCGGCUAACUCCGUGCCAGCAGCCGCGGUAAUACGGAGGGGGCUAGCGUUGUUCGGAAUCAUUGGGCGUAAAGGGCGCGUAGGCGGCCGAUCAAGUCGGAGGUGAAAUCCCUCGGCUCAACUGAGGAAUUGCCUUCGAUACUGUUCGGCUUGAGUCCUGGAGAGGGUAGCGGAAUUCCCGGUGUAGCGGUGAAAUGCGUAGAGACCGGGAAGAACACCAGUGGCGAAGGCGGCUACCUGGACAGGUAUUGACGCUGAAGCGCGAAAGCUAGGGGAGCAAACAGGAUUAGAUACCCUAGUAGUCC
RNAcentral lists this ribosomal RNA (810 nucleotides) under uncultured bacterium. RNAcentral's name for it is "bacterial SSU rRNA". It matches the Rfam family "Bacterial small subunit ribosomal RNA", at positions 8 to 796 of the family's 1533-position model. The record is from RNAcentral.